This 510-nucleotide ribosomal RNA is filed under the name uncultured bacterium. RNAcentral's name for it is "partial 16S ribosomal RNA". It matches the Rfam family "Bacterial small subunit ribosomal RNA", at positions 28 to 507 of the family's 1533-position model. The record is from RNAcentral.
GACGAACGCUGGCGGCGUGCUUAACACAUGCAAGUCGAACGAAGAGCGAUGGAAGCUUGCUUCUAUCAAUCUUAGUGGCGAACGGGUGAGUAACGCGUAAUCAACCUGCCCUUCAGAGGGGGGCAACAGUUGGAAACGACUGCUAAUACCGCAUACGAUCCAAUCUCGGCAUCGGGACUGGAUGAAAGGUGGCCUCUAUUUAUAAGCUAUCACUGAAGGAGGGGAUUGCGUCUGAUUAGCUAGUUGGAGGGGUAACGGCCCACCAAGGCGAUGAUCAGUAGCCGGUCUGAGAGGAUGAACGGCCACAUUGGGACUGAGACACGGCCCAGACUCCUACGGGAGGCAGCAGUGGGGAAUCUUCCGCAAUGGACGAAAGUCUGACGGAGCAACGCCGCGUGAGUGAUGACGGCCUUCGGGUUGUAAAGCUCUGUUAAUCGGGACGAAUGGUUCUUGUGCGAAUAGUGCGAGGAUUUGACGGUACCGGAAUAGAAAGCCACGGCUAACUACGUG